AUUGCGGCCUGCUUAACAUGCAGUCGAACGGCAGCGCGGGAGCAAUCCUGGCGGCGAGUGGCGAACGGGUGAGUAAUAUAUCGGAACGUGCCCAGUAGUGGGGGAUAGCCCGGCGAAAGCCGGAUUAAUACCGCAUACGACCUACGGGUGAAAGGGGGGGAUCGCAAGACCUCUCGCUAUUGGAGCGGCCGAUAUCAGAUUAGGUAGUUGGUGGGGUAAAGGCCCACCAAGCCUACGAUCUGUAGUUGGUCUGAGAGGACGACCAGCCACACUGGGACUGAGACACGGCCCAGACUCCUACGGGAGGCAGCAGUGGGGAAUUUUGGACAAUGGGGGCAACCCUGAUCCAGCAAUGCCGCGUGCAGGAAGAAGGCCUUCGGGUUGUAAACUGCUUUUGUCAGGGAAGAAAUCCCUUGGGUUAAUACCUCGGGGGGAUGACGGUACCUGAAGAAUAAGCACCGGCUAACUACGUGCCAGCAGCCGCGGUAAUACGUAGGGUGCAAGCGUUAAUCGGAAUUACUGGGCGUAAAGCGUGCGCAGGCGGCUUUGCAAGACAGGUGUGAAAUCCCCGGGCUUAACCUGGGAACUGCACUUGUGACUGCAUCGCUAGAGUACGGUAGAGGGGGAUGGAAUUCCGCGUGUAGCAGUGA
This 650-nucleotide ribosomal RNA is filed under the name uncultured bacterium. RNAcentral's name for it is "bacterial SSU rRNA". It matches the Rfam family "Bacterial small subunit ribosomal RNA", at positions 36 to 684 of the family's 1533-position model. The record is from RNAcentral.